GACGAACGCUGGCGUCGUGCUUAACACAUGCAAGUCGAACGGAAAGGCCCUGCUUUUGUGGGGUGCUCGAGUGGCGAACGGGUGAAUAACACGUGAGUAACCUUCCCUUGACUUUGGUAUAACUUCAGGAAACUGGGGCUAAUACCGGAUAGGAGCUCCUGCUGCAUGGUGGGGGUUGGAAAGUUUCGGCGGUUGGGGAUGGACUCGCGGCUUAUCAGCUUGUUGUUGGGGUAGUGGCUUACCAAGGCUUUGACGGGUAGCCGGCCUGAGAGGGUGACCGGCCACAUUGGGACUGAGAUAAGGCCCAGACUCCUACGGGAGACAGCAGUGGGGAAUAUUGCACAAAGGGGGGAAGCCUGAUGCAGCAACGCCGCGUGCGGGAUGACGGCCUUCGGGUUGUAAACCGCUUUCGCCUGUGACGAAGCGUGAGUGACGGUAAUAGGUAAAGAAGCACCGGCUAACUACGUG
This 468-nucleotide ribosomal RNA is filed under the name uncultured bacterium. Its description in RNAcentral is "partial 16S ribosomal RNA". It matches the Rfam family "Bacterial small subunit ribosomal RNA", at positions 28 to 507 of the family's 1533-position model. The record is from RNAcentral.